Molecule: ribosomal RNA, 765 nt
Filed under: uncultured Streptococcus sp.
Lineage: Bacteria; Bacillati; Bacillota; Bacilli; Lactobacillales; Streptococcaceae
Description: bacterial SSU rRNA
Rfam family: Bacterial small subunit ribosomal RNA
Source: RNAcentral
GACGAACGCUGGCGGCGUGCCUAAUACAUGCAAGUAGAACGCUGAAGAGAGGAGCUUGCUCUUCUUGGAAGAGUUGCGAACGGGUGAGUAACGCGUAGGUAACCUGCCUUGUAGCGGGGGAUAACUAUUGGAAACGAUAGCUAAUACCGCAUAACAAUGGGUGACCCAUGUCAUUCAUUUAAAAGGGGCAACUGCUCCACUACAAGAUGGACCUGCGUUGUAUUAGCUAGUAGGUGAGGUAACGGCUCACCUAGGCGACGAUACAUAGCCGACCUGAGAGGGUGAUCGGCCACACUGGGACUGAGACACGGCCCAGACUCCUACGGGAGGCAGCAGUAGGGAAUCUUCGGCAAUGGGGGCAACCCUGACCGAGCAACGCCGCGUGAGUGAAGAAGGUUUUCGGAUCGUAAAGCUCUGUUGUAAGUCAAGAACGAGUGUGAGAGUGGAAAGUUCACACUGUGACGGUAGCUUACCAGAAAGGGACGGCUAACUACGUGCCAGCAGCCGCGGUAAUACGUAGGUCCCGAGCGUUGUCCGGAUUUAUUGGGCGUAAAGCGAGCGCAGGCGGUUUGAUAAGUCUGAAGUUAAAGGCUGUGGCUCAACCAUAGUUCGCUUUGGAAACUGUCAAACUUGAGUGCAGAAGGGGAGAGUGGAAUUCCAUGUGUAGCGGUGAAAUGCGUAGAUAUAUGGAGGAACACCGGUGGCGAAGGCGGCUCUCUGGUCUGUAACUGACGCUGAGGCUCGAAAGCGUGGGGAGCGAACAGG